UCACUGAACGAUGUUGUUAAAUUUGAUCUUUUAAUAAAAAUGUCUUUAUAAACUGACAUAAAUAUGAAAACUGUUGCCUUAUGCAAGAGACACACACUGGGAAACUGAUUUUACUAUUACAGAACAUGCAUGCUCUAGGUUGUAAGUCCCUGUGUUGUUUACUUGCUUCAAUCUGUUUUUCUCCAUGUUCUUGCCCACUUAUUUUCUCCUAUGUAGCUUUUCCCUGAAAGUGUCUUUAAUGAAUGUUACUAGGACACUCUUUAGAUUGAACACUAAGAAGGGAACCUUGAGAACAGAUGCCAAAAAUACUGGGAACAGUUUGGAGGUGGAAUUACAAUCCUGCACUUGGCUGUGUGAUCAUGGACAAAUUACUGAACCUUUGAACCUUGAAUUACGUAUCUGUAAAACUGCAGAAAUAAUAUAUAGCAUACAAAAUUGUUAAAUCCUUUCCAUUAGCACCCUUCUCUUCUCCAGGUCUGUAUUUAUCAUCCCAUCUCCUUACCAGUGCUCAGUAUUUGGCAACAUCCAAAUUAACAAAGAUUCAUAUUAACCUAAACCCUUUAAAGUGUUUAUAGAGCAUAAACUCAGUCAUGGUCAGUAUCAAAACGACUUUUAAAUGAUUUCUAUUUAUCCUGGUACCCUUUGGGGGCCAAGUUUUAGAAAGCUGAACAAGCUGGUUGUAACUAACCAGGGCAGACCAUGAAAUCUCUAGCUAUAGAGAUGUUCAGUGAGUAUCCAGUUAGUAGCUAUGUAUUUUUGAUUUGGUAUCUGUAUCUUACAUAGGCAGACAGCAACAUAAGCCCAUGUGUUCACAAGGCUGCUCACCUGGUCAGAGCUCACGGUCAUGGGCUCCUUCAGCAGCAGCCACACAAUGCACUCCUCACAGGGUGGCGUGGUGAAUGACCCCUGGUAGGUCCAGUAGUCCCGGCAUGCCGGGAACAGGCAGGAUGGGUCAAACUUUGUGAAGGGUGCCUCCUUGCCCUGGGUAAGAGCAGGUUGCAGGUGCAGUGAGUGUGUGCAUGCACAUGCUCACCCACCCCAAUGCCCUUAUCACUUCAUUUGUGAGAAUGGAUUUCAAAUGCAAUAGAGAAAAUAGAACUUUUGAACAAAGUAGAGGCCUGUCAAAAAUAAAGAUCAAAGCGGGGAAGCUGGUUUUGCACAUUAUUACUUGAUCUGACACAAUCAUUGUCACACUGUGUUCCUUAUUGUUUUAACUGUGAGUAGAAUUUGUAAUUCUAUCACUCCUCAAGAAAAAGGAGAAACUGAUAUCCCAAGCGUAAUUGAAUUAUUUCAUGUAAGUUAAUGUUUUGUUGUUGAUGAUACCAAAAAAUAUCAGGCUUGCAUUUUUAUUGAAUGUUCUACUUGGAAUACUUACUCUCUCUGUUAAUAAAAUUCAAUACUAUUUUAUUAGAAUGGUCGCAAAAAAAAUCAAAAUUUUUCUGUUACUUAUAUGAGUCUGUUGUUAAGAUUUUAAAUUUAUAAGUGCUUCCCAGAAAGGUCAUCACCAAGACUCAACAGACCAGUGCUGGCUGACAUUUAGUAUCUCCAUGAUGGUAUGCAUGCAUAUAUGCAGUGUGUGUGUGGGGGGGUGGGGGGGCGAGGAUGCGGUGACCACUCAACUUCUCUGAUUCUCACUUAUUCCAUUGAGAAAGAGAUUAUCUGACAGGAUGACUAUCACCAUUAAAAAACUGAUAUAUGUGAAAUUGCUCUAAAAACUGCAUGCCAUACAAAUAUAAUAGCAUUUAUUUUUAUAUUUAUGCUUAGCAUAUCCAUCAAACUUAGUAACAGAUUUUAGGUGAAAAAAAACACUUGAAAAUGUGUAAGGAAAAUUUGCAUAAUCUGCUUUAUGUGUUAGGAGGGAAAAUAAUUUUUGUUUACCUUUGUCUUAAUCUUUUCCAAUGCAUCAAGGACAAUCUGGAACUCGCCUUUCUCACGUCCUAUCUGUAAGAAAACGGAAAUCCAAGUAUAAUUCUUUUACUUCUCCAUAAUUUAGGAUUGUCUUCAAAGCUGAUUUUGAUUCAUCCAUCUGCAACUAGUGUUUAUAAAUCUGCCAGAAUAUCUCGUACUAAGCAAAAACUUAAGUUUAUUUUUCCUCAAGAUUUUAGAGUAUAUAUUUUCUGAUCUAAAUUUGGACUCCAGGCCUCUGAAGUACAGGACCACAAAAUUACAUGUUGAUCUAGUUCUGUGUCUUUGACCUUCUCCGCAAAGUCAUUCCACUUUUCUAAAAAACAGAUUUAGAACCAAAAUGGACCGUAUGUUUCCCAAACUAAACUCAUUGUCUUUCUUCUUAGACCUACUCCACCUCCUGCUGUGCUGUGUUCAAGCACCAGAAAUGACCCAAUGAAUUGAGAACCUAAAACAAAUUAGGUCAUUCAAAGAGAAAGAAGCCAGAUUUUCACCUCUGGCUUGAAAUCUAGAUUAUGUUACCUCUAACCUCAUGUGUUAAUGACACUAAGUCCUCUUUAAAGCAAGGCUGGCUCAACAACACACACAUUCCAUGUGCUAUCUUAGCCAGGGAUCAUGUGAGUGGUGACCACCUCAAGCCGAGGGGAUGUCCAGCCAGGGACUUGGCAUCAUAUGGUUCCCAACACUGACUUUUCUGGUUUCCAGUGCAAUUGAAGUGGAGCAGUGAGAAAGGAAAAUGAACAUAUGCCACCUUUGCCCUUACCACCAUGAUAAUAAGCGCACUCUAAGGCUCUGUCCCCGCCACCUACACACACACACACACACACACACACACACACACACAUCCCACAUCUGGGGAAAAUUUAGAAGUGCUAGGGGUCCUGGAGUGUGGUAAAAUAUACACUUUUAGAGAAAAGCAAGACAUUUUGAGCUGAUCUUAGCAGAAAUAUCUUGAUUAGUUGAAUUAAUAAUAAAAUGUAUAUAGAGGGAAGAAAGUAAAAAUGAGGGAAUGAAACUCAAACUAUGCUAAGCAUUGGUAGGGAAAUACAUUUUGAAAGAAAAUAUAUGGUCAAUUUUUACUUUACCUUCAGAAAAAUGCCAAUCACAGCGAUCCCAUCACGCUGCUUCAGGGCUUCUUUAAAAGUGUUAUACUUGGGGUUCCAGUGAACCAAAUGAAGCUGAAACCAUAGAAGACAGAUUAGAAGGUAAAUUCCUGGAAUAUGGAAACUCAGAAUGGAUUAUGGCAGUUCCUCCUACCUCUGCUGCAUACUUGACUCCAUCCACGGUGUGCUCAGAGCCAUGAUCAUCCGAAGAGCCCCAGUGAAGAUGAAACUGGCGAAGUCGGUAGGGUCCAGGGAGAGGACCCCCUCUCAGCACUGUGAUUCAGAUAAGCUUGGUCAACAGUGAAUUCAUGCUUCUUUUACAGAGCUUAAUGGACAAAAUGUGGUCAGUGUGCUGGGUAGAUGGUGCCACUCCCAGGACACCAGACUCCUCAUAAAAUGAAGUCUUGGGAUAUGUCAAGAUAAAUGAUUGCUCUUUUCUGUUUUUCUUAUUUUGUUUGUUUGUUUCAUUAUUAUUGAAACAUCAUUUUAACAUUUAGGAAAGUAAAAUUAAAACAACAGAUGGACAAUGAGGAGGCAUACACCCAGAGAACAGGUCGGUAGUGUGGUGCAGUGGGAAGAAUUGGACAGUUGAGAACCAGGUGGAUGUAGGUUUCCAAUGCUGGCUUCACCCCUUGCUAGUUCUGUGAUCUUAGACAAGUUGCUAAACUUCUCUGAACCCACUUUCACAUUUCUAAGAAGGUGAUAAUAAUACCAAACUUUCAGAGCUGCUGUGAAGAUUAACUGAGAUUAAGCACCUUAAAGUGCUCAUCAUAGUGCCUGCACGAUGAUCACUGAGCAAAUGUGAAUUCCUUCUCCCCAUGUUGCUUCCAACUACACUUUUCUUUAAGACAGCAAGCAAGAACUUUCAUCUAUGCCUAAUUUAGACCGUGUCUGUUCAAAUGAGAUGAAAUGGAAAAUUCAGAAAUUUCCCAGAAAACCAAUCAAUUUAUAUGACUAAACUAGAUAAUUCUCAGCAGCAUUAAUUUGGGCUUGUGGAUAAACAUCUCAACCCAUUGCAGAGUGAUUCAGAGGUUCAGAUAUCUUCCAAAGUAUAUUGAAAACUAUGCAGAAACCGUAAGAUCAAGAUUUGGCAAUAUAAGCUAGAUCAAAAUAGAAUUCAGAGCACAGCUAUUUUAGAAGAGGUUGGCCACACUAAGUGGCCCAGGAAAGCCAUAAAUGUAGACCUCAAACAAUGAGGCUAGGCCUAUAUGAGUUUUUUCAUGUAGAAAUGGAGUGGUUCAAUUCAUUGCAUUUUUCCUGUCCAGCCACUCAGAACAGUUAUUAUAGGGACAUGUGAGUCCAAUUUAUUAGAAUAAACUGUAUGAAAUUGGCAAUAUUCAACUAUUUUUGCUCACAAAAAUGGCAUUUUCAUGUGGUUCAAUCUAAUAGACAUGUUUAAUUUUGUUAUGGUGCUUUCAAAAUGGUACUUGAUAUAUAAGGAGAAGGGGAAAAAAGAAAACAAUAGCAAUACAAAAUCACUGUUUAAGAAAAUUUAAAUUUCUAUAACUUGGAAUCUCCUAGUAGGUAGGAAUUAUGAAUAUCAUUCUUCAUUACAACAUCAUUAAGAAUGUUCACUUAUGUAUAUCAAUAAAUGUAACUUUAUUAGAAAUGUGGCUAUAAGGAAUUAUUUUGCUGUAUAUCAAGCACCAAAAUAUUAAAGGAAGAUUAUUUCUUACCUCAUUUAUUGUGAAAUAGUGUAUUUUUGACUAGCAUUCUUUUAUUUUACUGAUUUGCUUACUAGUGUAAGUGAAAUAAAGAGAUUUGUUUUUUCUAAACAUGUAUUUUUCAGUUGCUGUCUCACACACAAAUACUACUCAAGAAGAAAUUGUCAGAUAUUUCAAAAAUACUCACCAAAAUGAUUAAUCAGAUGAACCCCACUGAAGGCUUGAAGAAUGGAAUCUACGCAAUCGAGAGUGGAAGCCUGGCUCUCCAGACCAUGGACAAGAAGCAUAAAAAUCCUUCAGGUACAGGCCAUCAGAGUCUGAAGAAUACUCAUUUGAGCUUAUUGUCAUCUCUGUCCUAUCAUGUUCCAUUUCAGGAAUGCAUUGCCAACUUUUAGCUUGGACAUGGGGCCGUUUUCACAGAGACCAAGUUUGGAGGGGCUCUCCAGGACCGGCAUCUCCUCCUGGCCAGGUCGCCGCUGCCUGCACUCACCGUUGUGACUGGCGUAGCCCCACUCCUUGGCCAUGGUCGCCUUCCUCCGCGCUGGACUGCUCCUGCCUUCUCUUCCCCUGCGUGGUGCAGAGUCUCCGAGAGCCCGCGUUUUUAUGUAGCUCCCCCCCGCACACUGCAUGGCCUUAUUAGGAAGCCAAGGGCUGGAUCUCAGAGAGCGCCCGGCAUCCAGGAGAUGUCUGGAUCCUAGGUUCACGCGGAGCUGGAGACUGGCACUGAUUUAGCCACACUCCCUGCGCUGUACCUCUGUCCAUGAAAAAUCAAGAAUAUUCUGAAGUAUUGGAAGGCUACUAACAUAAAAUGAGUCAUAUUUCUUAAAACCUGUGACCUCGCUCUCCAAGAUAUAAUGAGAGAUUGCAAGAAAAGGAAGAGGGAAAGAUUUACAGAAUGGCUUUUAAUUUUUUUCUCCCCCUCCUAAGUUGUUUUCUGAUACAUUGAACCAUGCAAAGGAGAAUAAAAGCGGCAUAUCUAGUGUGUACAUGACAAAAGUAUAUUUUUCAAUAUCUGGUUAUGGUUCAUAUCAAAGAAGUCAGUAGUAGAUAUUUACAAUUUUAAGAGUAUAUUGUAAAAUUUCUCCUGUUUUAAUUCAGUAAUAAUUUUUUUUAAGACAAUGAGGAAAGAUAAAGCUAAUUUCAGUGCUAUCUUGAACAAUAUUUUAAUAUACAUUUCCUUAAUUAACUUUUAUUGAUAAUAGUAUUUAGUAUUCGGGGAUUACAAAACUCGAAAAGGAAAUCGCUCGUCAUGGCAAAGAUAGCUCAUCCCUAAGGCAUGUGGAAUGACUGACCACACUCAUAACCUGGACGCCAGGGGAGUCACUCCCCAGGGUAUUUUUGUGACAAGGGAUUAUUUGAUCCACACAAUAGCAGUGUGGAAUCAGGAACUAAGGCAGUUCGGAAAAUCCAAGCAAACAUAGUAAACAAAUGCCCUUAAACUCUGAGCUCCUAUCUGUCACUGUUUGAUCAGAAAGACUGCAGUGGUUAAUGGAGAUGUUUUAUAGUUCUUAUAAAAUGUAUAAUUAUUUGUAUGAGUAAAUCAAUCCACUCAAUCAUUACAAUAUUCUUUUUCUGGUAUGAGUGGUUAGAAGAUUGGCAAUUAAAUUUCAUGUUAUUUGAUAUAGUAGUCAUACACAGAAGACAAUAACAUUUAUACCAAGAACGAUCUAGAAAUUCAUCAUGUUGUUAUUAUUUAUGCAUAGAAGGAUACUUUUUUAAAAAAAUAAGUGCUAUUUAUGAUUAAUUUUAAAAGUGCACAAUAGCACAUAAUUUCAAAUAAAUGCUAGGUAAACUUUGCAAAGUGAAAUAUUUAAUAGCUUUAGAUGUGUGGCCUUUAAAAUGAUGAUUUGUAUUUCAUUAUACUUUUUCAUAAGAGGUUAAUAGAAAUUGGAAUUUCAAGACAAUUUAUAUUAAAUCAUGUAAUUCUAGGCCAUAAUAAGUUUUUCAGAAACUUCAUCUAAAUUUUUCUGCAAAUACAUUUUUCAAAAACCUCAUCGGCAAAUUUACUAUCUGCAUCUUAGCUGAUUUACUUCAGCAUGUUUGCCUAUACAUUUCAAAAUUCUCUGUCAAUAAACAGAUAAUUCUAAA
Non-coding RNA from Macaca mulatta (Rhesus monkey), 6760 nucleotides. The record is from RefSeq and is a predicted model, not a curated record. NCBI's taxonomy places the organism in Eukaryota, Metazoa, Chordata, Mammalia, Primates, Cercopithecidae.